UUCAACUCAGUGGCGGACGGGUGAGUAACGCGUGAGUAACCUGCCUUUCAGAGGGGGAUAACGUUCUGAAAAGAACGCUAAUACCGCAUAAGAUUGUAGCUUCGCAUGGAGCAGCAAUCAAAGGAGCAAUCCGCUGAAAGAUGGACUCGCGUCCGAUUAGAUAGUUGGCGGGGUAACGGCCCACCAAGUCGACGAUCGGUAGCCGGACUGAGAGGUUGAUCGGCCACAUUGGGACUGAGACACGGCCCAGACUCCUACGGGAGGCAGCAGUGAGGGAUAUUGGGCAAUGGGGGAAACCCUGACCCAGCAACGCCGCGUGAGGGAUGACGGUUUUCGGAUUGUAAACCUCUGUCCUCUGUGAAGAUAGUGACGGUAGCAGAGGAGGAAGCUCCGGCUAACUACGUGCCAGCAGCCGCGGUAAUACGUAGGGAGCAAGCGUUGUCCGGAUUUACUGGGUGUAAAGGGUGCGUAGGCGGAUUGGCAAGUCAGAAGUGAAAUCCAUGGGCUUAACCCAUGAACUGCUUUUGAAACUGUUAGUCUUGAGUGAAGUAGAGGUAGGCGGAAUUCCCGGUGUAGCGGUGAAAUGCGUAGAGAUCGGGAGGAACACCAGUGGCGAAGG
RNAcentral lists this ribosomal RNA (619 nucleotides) under uncultured Lachnospiraceae bacterium. Its description in RNAcentral is "bacterial SSU rRNA". It matches the Rfam family "Bacterial small subunit ribosomal RNA", at positions 86 to 721 of the family's 1533-position model. Lineage: Bacteria; Bacillati; Bacillota; Clostridia; Lachnospirales; Lachnospiraceae. The record is from RNAcentral.